UCGUCAGCAUACCCUGUGAAGGAAACAUAGUAAGCAAAACUGGUAAAACCCAAAACGCCAGGUCGAGGUGUAGCGCACGAAAAGGAAAGAAAUGGGCUACAUUUCCUCACCCAGGAAACACGAAUUGUGCCAUGAAACAACACAUGAAGGAGGAUUUAGCAGUAAGCAGAAAACAGAGCGUUCCGCUGAACCUGGCCCUGAAGCGCGCACACACCGCCCGUCACUCUCCCCAAGUCUAAAGACAAUAAUAAUUAAAACCCCACAAAGACAAAGGGGAGGCAAGUCGUAACAUGG
RNAcentral lists this ribosomal RNA (294 nucleotides) under Xiphophorus hellerii (green swordtail). RNAcentral describes it as "partial small subunit ribosomal RNA". Lineage: Eukaryota; Metazoa; Chordata; Actinopteri; Cyprinodontiformes; Poeciliidae. The record is from RNAcentral.